Molecule: long non-coding RNA, 541 nt
Filed under: Vigna radiata
Lineage: Eukaryota; Viridiplantae; Streptophyta; Magnoliopsida; Fabales; Fabaceae
Description: long non-coding RNA (VRAD_LNC005662)
Source: RNAcentral
AAUUGAUGGGUGAAGGCUGCAUGGGUGUUUCCAAGUUGCUGAAUGUCACCUGCACGAGUAUGGGCCGUGGCAGCUUGGCCAUUUUUCUUCAACGCUGAACCAGGUGAAGAUGUUGGACGNUGCUGGAUGUGUAUAGUUGGGUCCGUGGAGUUAUCACAUGGACGUCACCCCCUCACCAUUUCANCCUUCAAAAUUAGCACAUGUGCCUCCUUCUUUUAUCAAAUAAAUGAAUCAGCUUGGCCGUGGCAUGUGCUGCANAACAAUAUGUUCUCUUUUCCAUGUGCACCACCAAAUAUGAAAUCCACACCUCCAUUCUCAUAAGCCCAAAAGGGUAAAAUCCCCNUACUGCCCUUCUUCUUGUGAACACUUCUUUUGAGAAGAGUCUUGAAUUGUGUGACAACUCUCAAUAUGUCCCAAAUUAUAUUUCCAAAAUUUUCCCUGAAAAUAAUAAUGCAAAUAAUUAGCUCAGAAAAUUCAAAUUAAUUAAAAUUCGAAUUUCCGGUCAAAUUAAGCACAAUUAGCAGAAACGAGAAAAUACCGG